RNAcentral lists this ribosomal RNA (274 nucleotides) under uncultured bacterium. RNAcentral describes it as "partial 16S ribosomal RNA". It matches the Rfam family "Bacterial small subunit ribosomal RNA", at positions 523 to 796 of the family's 1533-position model. The record is from RNAcentral.
CUACGGAGGGUGCAAGCGUUAAUCGGAAUUACUGGGCGUAAAGCGCGCGUAGGCGGCUUGGUAAGUCGGAUGUGAAAUCCCCGGGCUUAACCUGGGAAUUGCAUUCGAUACUGUCAGGCUAGAGUGUGGUAGAGGGAAGUGGAAUUUCCGGUGUAGCGGUGAAAUGCGUAGAUAUCGGAAGGAACACCAGUGGCGAAGGCGACUUCCUGGGCCAAUACUGACGCUGAGGUGCGAAAGCGUGGGGAGCAAACAGGAUUAGAAACCCCAGUAGUCC